This 294-nucleotide long non-coding RNA is filed under the name Vitis vinifera (wine grape). Its description in RNAcentral is "long non-coding RNA (VVIN_LNC002331)". The record is from RNAcentral. Lineage: Eukaryota; Viridiplantae; Streptophyta; Magnoliopsida; Vitales; Vitaceae.
GAUUGAUUUUGGAGAUGUGAGGUACACACACGGCUAAUGUGCAGGGUGUCGAUUUUUGCCCCUUCUUUUAAGUUAUAUUGGAGUACUUGCCAUUAUCGCUUGUGGCUGUGAUCCAUUAUUUCAAAGAUCACUUGUAGUUGCUUAGCUUAGCUAGUAUUACUGCAUUCCAAAUUAUAUCUGUUUUUUUUCAGACCCACUUUCUUGGAAUUGGGUCCAAGAACACUGGCAGAACUUUGAGGGAAAGGUCUCUUGAUGAUAUUGGGUGGUUUUGCGAGCGAAAUCUAGGCACCAUUU